GUGACCGAUGUCUGGAGUCCAUAGAGGGGCCCGUGUCCUGUCCCAGAUCGGAGGGCUUCCCGGCUAAAUGGCUUUGCUUUAAAAUCAGAGACAGACUGGAGGUAGAGUUCCGCCUGUAGAACCUAAUGGCCCGAGCGCACCGAGUACCCAGCACUUUUCCUACACACAAAGGGAACCGCUAGCCGAC
Nanorana parkeri is the source of this 187-nucleotide long non-coding RNA. RefSeq lists it as uncharacterized. NCBI's taxonomy places the organism in Eukaryota, Metazoa, Chordata, Amphibia, Anura, Dicroglossidae. The record is from RefSeq and is a predicted model, not a curated record. The transcript is spliced from 3 exons.